This 306-nucleotide ribosomal RNA is filed under the name uncultured Pseudomonas sp. RNAcentral's name for it is "bacterial SSU rRNA". It matches the Rfam family "Bacterial small subunit ribosomal RNA", at positions 1076 to 1382 of the family's 1533-position model. Lineage: Bacteria; Pseudomonadati; Pseudomonadota; Gammaproteobacteria; Pseudomonadales; Pseudomonadaceae. The record is from RNAcentral.
CGGGUUAAGUCCCGUAACGAGCGCAACCCUUGUCCUUAGUUACCAGCACGUUAUGGUGGGCACUCUAAGGAGACUGCCGGUGACAACCGGAGGAAGGUGGGGAUGACGUCAAGUCAUCAUGGCCCUUACGGCCUGGGCUACACACGUGCUACAAUGGUCGGUACAAAGGGUUGCCAAGCCGCGAGGUGGAGCUAAUCCCAUAAAACCGAUCGUAGUCCGGAUCGCAGUCUGCAACUCGACUGCGUGAAGUCGGAAUCGCUAGUAAUCGUGAAUCAGAAUGUCACGGUGAAUACGUUCCCGGGCCUU